GGGGUAGAGUAAUGCGUGACCAACCUGCCCCAUGCUCCAGAAUAGCUCUUGGAAACGGGUGGUAAUGCUGGAUGCUCCAACUUGACGCAUGUCUUGUUGGGAAAGUGUUUAGUGGCAUGGGAUGGGGUCGCGUCCUAUCAGCUUGUAGGCGGGGUAAUGGCCCACCUAGGCUUCGACGGGUAGCCGGCCUGAGAGGGCGGACGGCCACAUUGGGACUGAGAUACGGCCCAGACUCCUACGGGAGGCAGCAGCG
Molecule: ribosomal RNA, 253 nt
Filed under: uncultured Gardnerella sp.
Lineage: Bacteria; Bacillati; Actinomycetota; Actinomycetes; Bifidobacteriales; Bifidobacteriaceae
Description: partial 16S ribosomal RNA
Rfam family: Bacterial small subunit ribosomal RNA
Source: RNAcentral